This 231-nucleotide long non-coding RNA is filed under the name Setaria viridis. Its description in RNAcentral is "long non-coding RNA (SVIR_LNC005633)". Lineage: Eukaryota; Viridiplantae; Streptophyta; Magnoliopsida; Poales; Poaceae. The record is from RNAcentral.
ACCACCGGGAUCCUACCUUAAUCUUGAUGACUUCUAGCUCCAGAACUCCAACGUGAUCUUCCUCGUAUGGUGAUCACACUGGCAGAGGUUCAGAUACCACUACAAGGUUUUGCGCCUAAAGCAAUGCCUCAAAAUUGUUGCAAUAAGGGUAUUUUAGUUGCAAUAUGCAGCAAUCGCAACACUUUGGUGGUGUUGUGAGGCGUUGCAAGUACCUCCGAUGCAAUAGGGUAU